RNAcentral lists this ribosomal RNA (492 nucleotides) under uncultured bacterium. RNAcentral's name for it is "partial 16S ribosomal RNA". It matches the Rfam family "Bacterial small subunit ribosomal RNA", at positions 29 to 507 of the family's 1533-position model. The record is from RNAcentral.
AGUGAACGCUGGCGGUAGGCCUAACACAUGCAAGUCGAACGGCAGCACAGUAAGAGCUUGCUCUUACGGGUGGCGAGUGGCGGACGGGUGAGGAAUACAUCGGAAUCUACUUUUUCGUGGGGGAUAACGUAGGGAAACUUACGCUAAUACCGCAUACGACCUACGGGUGAAAGCAGGGGAUCUUCGGACCUUGCGCGAUUGAAUGAGCCGAUGUCGGAUUAGCUAGUUGGCGGGGUAAAGGCCCACCAAGGCGACGAUCCGUAGCUGGUCUGAGAGGAUGGUCAGCCACACUGGAACGGAGACACGGUCCAGACUCCUACGGGAGGCAGCAGUGGGGAAUAUUGGACAAUGGGCGCAAGCCUGAUACAGCCAUACCGCGUGUGUGAAGAAGGCCUUCGGGUUGUAAAGCCCUUUUGUUGGGAAAGAAAAGCAGCAGGUUAAUACCCCGCUGUUCUGACGGAACCCAAAGAAUAAGCACCGGCUAACUUCGUG